AAUCUGCCGCAAUGGUCGAAAGUCUGACGGAGCAACGCCGCGAGAGUGAUGAAGGUAUUCGGAUCGUAAAACUCUGUUGUUAGGGAAGAACAAGUAUCGACGUCACGGCCGGUAUCUUAACGAUACCUACCGAGAAAGUCACCGCCAACUACGUCUCAGCAGCCGCGGUAAUACGUAGGUGGCAAGCGUUGUCCGGAUUUAUUGGGCGUAAAGCGCGCGCAGGCGGUCUUUUAAGUCUGAUGUGAAAUCUUACAGCUUAACUGUAAGCGGUCAUUGGAAACUGGGAGACUUGAGUGCAGAAGAGGAGAGUGGAAUUCCAUGUGUAGCGGUGAAAUGCGUAGAGAUAUGGAGGAACACCAGUGGCGAAGGCGACUCUCUGGUCUGUAACUGACGCUGAGGCGCGAAAGCGUGGGGAUCAAACA
This 422-nucleotide ribosomal RNA is filed under the name uncultured bacterium. RNAcentral's name for it is "partial 16S ribosomal RNA". It matches the Rfam family "Bacterial small subunit ribosomal RNA", at positions 360 to 774 of the family's 1533-position model. The record is from RNAcentral.